UACGUAGGUGGCAAGCGUUAUCCGGAAUUAUUGGGCGUAAAGAGCGCGCAGGUGGUUGAUUAAGUCUGAUGUGAAAGCCCACGGCUUAACCGUGGAGGGUCGUCGUGAACGGGUGAGCUUGAGGGUAUCAGGGGCUGGUGGAAUUCCCGGUGUAGUGGUGAAAUGCGUAGAGAUCGGGAGGAACACCUGUGGCGAAGGCGGCCAGCUGGGAUACACCUGACGCUGAGAUGCGAAGGCGUGGGGAGCGAACGGGAUUAGAUACCCCGGUAGUCCCUGA
This 277-nucleotide ribosomal RNA is filed under the name uncultured prokaryote. RNAcentral describes it as "partial 16S ribosomal RNA". It matches the Rfam family "Bacterial small subunit ribosomal RNA", at positions 524 to 800 of the family's 1533-position model. The record is from RNAcentral.